AUAUGGCUAAUCAUCACAGUGCACUUCUUUUCAUCUUUGCUGUUAUUUCAUCUGGUAAUUUCUUCACUUUUAUAAUCUCUAUCUUUGGUCAACCUGUGUGAAGCAAAUAAAGCAUACUUGUUAACUAUUAAUCUUCCUAUUUAGGUUCAUAUAUAACUAAAAAAAUUUAAACUUUAAUUUGAUAAUUCCUUGUUUCAUUUAAUAUUGGUUUGAAAACGACUUCACAACAUUCGAAUGUCAAUAAAUCAGGAGAAAAACGCAGUAGCUACAAUAGGUGGUAGUGGUCCAAUCUGCAUAACAGAGUUUUGACCCGAAUAUAAAAACUUUGCCAUUAUUGGGUGUGCAACUCAGACUGUUGAUUUGUUUAUGCUUAGAGAAAAAUGUUUAUUUGUUAAAGCAACAAGGAGGCUUUCCAAGAAGGGUUAUUUUUUACAAUCUUAGAAAUUUGAUCUGUUGGGUGGCAGCACCUGAAACCUGUGGAAGCAGUAAGACUUUAACUAUAGUAAAUUACUGCAAGGAGACAAUAUGGCCUGCGAUGACAGGAAGUGAUAACUUCAGUGGAGAUGCAUUAAAUCCUG
This 578-nucleotide long non-coding RNA is filed under the name Vigna radiata. RNAcentral's name for it is "long non-coding RNA (VRAD_LNC010772)". Lineage: Eukaryota; Viridiplantae; Streptophyta; Magnoliopsida; Fabales; Fabaceae. The record is from RNAcentral.